Molecule: small RNA, 258 nt
Filed under: Vigna angularis var. angularis
Lineage: Eukaryota; Viridiplantae; Streptophyta; Magnoliopsida; Fabales; Fabaceae
Description: Non-protein coding transcript
Source: RNAcentral
AGACAGACAAUGUUGAUGCAUUUAGGGCUGCAUGGGGAGCAGCAUGCAAGAACAGCAGUAGUCGAGCAAAGGUUUUGAUCCCAGAGGGAACUUAUCGUACUGCUCAAACUAUGUUCGCGGGACCAUGUAGUAGCCCAAAGCCUAUAACCGUUGAAGUUAUAGGAACUGUUAAAGCCAACACAGAUCCAUCUGAGUAUGUGAGUCCAGAAUGGUUCACGUUUCAAGACAUUGAUGGCCUUGUGUUGACUGGGAGAGGAG